RNAcentral lists this ribosomal RNA (248 nucleotides) under uncultured bacterium. Its description in RNAcentral is "partial 16S ribosomal RNA". It matches the Rfam family "Bacterial small subunit ribosomal RNA", at positions 15 to 238 of the family's 1533-position model. The record is from RNAcentral.
GAUCAUGGCUCAGGACGAACGCUGGCGGCGUGCUUAACACAUGCAAGUCUAACGAGAAUCUGCUGAAGGAGGAUUCGUCCAACGGAAGUAGAGGAAAGUGGCGGACGGGUGAGUAACGCGUGAGGAACCUGCCUUGAAGAGGGGGACAACAGUUGGAAACGACUGCUAAUACCGCAUGAAGCAUAGGGGUCGCAUGACUUCUUUAUCGACCAAAGUAUUUAUCGUCUUACAAGAGUCGGCCCUCGCCG